UAAAUAAAUUUCUACUGGAAAGCACCGUGGAAAGAUAUGGGAUGCAAAUACCAAGCUUGCUUAACACAGGACAGGAAUGGUGCAUAUAAGCAUGGGGCUUUCUCAGGUGAAUGCACUUUUAACAUCAUUAAAUAUCCCCCCAAUCAGUUUUUGGACUCUGCAAAACAGACAACAUGAAACAGGACCAGUUCUGGAGAAUACUACAGUAGAAAGUACCAGAAGCAGCCUUCAUGAUGAAAUUCAGGCAACUGAAUUAAAGGUACAGUCAAGCUAACAGUCAGUGUUGAUGCAGGUUGGCAGAAACCAGGCAAUGGGCCAUCCUUUGAUAGCCUCUCUGGUCAUUGCUCCAUGACUGAAUCUCAGACAGGCAAAGUCAUUGAUUAUGAAAUCAGAACUAAAUGUUGCACAAUAUAUGAGAAUGCUAUUAG
Saccostrea cuccullata (small rock oyster) is the source of this 428-nucleotide long non-coding RNA. RefSeq lists it as uncharacterized. Lineage: Eukaryota; Metazoa; Mollusca; Bivalvia; Ostreida; Ostreidae. The record is from RefSeq and is a predicted model, not a curated record. The transcript has 4 exons.